This 826-nucleotide ribosomal RNA is filed under the name Micrococcus sp. DFM70. RNAcentral's name for it is "bacterial SSU rRNA". It matches the Rfam family "Bacterial small subunit ribosomal RNA", at positions 95 to 928 of the family's 1533-position model. Lineage: Bacteria; Bacillati; Actinomycetota; Actinomycetes; Micrococcales; Micrococcaceae. The record is from RNAcentral.
GUGGCGAACGGGUGAGUAACACGUGAGUAACCUGCCCUUAACUCUGGGAUAAGCCUGGGAAACUGGGUCUAAUACCGGAUAGGAGCGUCCACCGCAUGGUGGGUGUUGGAAAGAUUUAUCGGUUUUGGAUGGACUCGCGGCCUAUCAGCUUGUUGGUGAGGUAAUGGCUCACCAAGGCGACGACGGGUAGCCGGCCUGAGAGGGUGACCGGCCACACUGGGACUGAGACACGGCCCAGACUCCUACGGGAGGCAGCAGUGGGGAAUAUUGCACAAUGGGCGAAAGCCUGAUGCAGCGACGCCGCGUGAGGGAUGACGGCCUUCGGGUUGUAAACCUCUUUCAGUAGGGAAGAAGCGAAAGUGACGGUACCUGCAGAAGAAGCACCGGCUAACUACGUGCCAGCAGCCGCGGUAAUACGUAGGGUGCGAGCGUUAUCCGGAAUUAUUGGGCGUAAAGAGCUCGUAGGCGGUUUGUCGCGUCUGUCGUGAAAGUCCGGGGCUUAACCCCGGAUCUGCGGUGGGUACGGGCAGACUAGAGUGCAGUAGGGGAGACUGGAAUUCCUGGUGUAGCGGUGGAAUGCGCAGAUAUCAGGAGGAACACCGAUGGCGAAGGCAGGUCUCUGGGCUGUAACUGACGCUGAGGAGCGAAAGCAUGGGGAGCGAACAGGAUUAGAUACCCUGGUAGUCCAUGCCGUAAACGUUGGGCACUAGGUGUGGGGACCAUUCCACGGGUUUCCGCGGCCGCAGCUAACGCAUUAAGUGCCCCGCCUGGGGGAGUACGGCCGCAAGGCUAAAACUCAAAGGGAAUUGACGGGGGGCCCGCACAA